CGGCGCUUCAGGUUACGAGGUGUGCGGGUUCCAGUCUUACGAGGUGUGCGGGUUCCAGUCUUACGAGGUGUGCGGGUUCCAGUCUUACGAGGUGUGCGGGUUCCAGUCUUACGCGGUGUGCGGGUUCCAGUCUUACGAGGUGUGCGGGUUCCAGUCUUACGAGGUGUGCGGGUUCCAGUCUUACGCGGUGUGCGGGUUCCAGUCUUACGAGGUGUGCGGGUUCCAGUCUUACGAGGUGUGCGGGUUCCAGUCUUACGCGGUGUGCGGGUUCCAGUCUUACGCGGUGUGCGGGUUCCAGUCUUACGCGGUGUGCGGG
This is a long non-coding RNA of Brienomyrus brachyistius, 316 nucleotides long. RefSeq lists it as uncharacterized. NCBI's taxonomy places the organism in Eukaryota, Metazoa, Chordata, Actinopteri, Osteoglossiformes, Mormyridae. The record is from RefSeq and is a predicted model, not a curated record. The transcript is spliced from 3 exons.